Molecule: ribosomal RNA, 403 nt
Filed under: uncultured bacterium
Lineage: Bacteria
Description: partial 16S ribosomal RNA
Rfam family: Bacterial small subunit ribosomal RNA
Source: RNAcentral
GACGAACGCUGGCGGCGUGCCUAAUACAUGCAAGUCGAACGCAGUUGGGACGGGUGAGUAACCCGUGGGUAACCUCCCAUCAGAGGUGAUAACACUUGGAAACAGGUGCUAAACCGAUACUGAUGGAUGGACCCUCGGUUCAUUAGCUAGUUGGUGAGGGAACGGCUCACAAAGGCGACGAUGCAUAGCCGACAUGAGAGGGUGAUCGGCCACACAGGGACUGAGACACGGCCCAGACUCCUACGGGAGGCAGCAGUAGGGAAUCUUCGGCAAUGGACGAAAGCCUGACCGAGCAAUGCCGCGUGGGUGAAGAAGGUUUUCGGAUCGUAAAGCUCUGUUGGUAGGGAAGCGGUAUCUAACCAGGAAGCCACGGCUAACUACGUGCCAGCAGCCGCGGUAAUAC